GUCAAAUAUGGAUUAAUGGGCAGAGUAUAGGGAGAUACUGGACUGCAUAUGCUACUGGUAAUUGCAACGGAUGCAGUUAUGCAGGAACAUUCCGUCCCUCUAAGUGUCAGCUUGGCUGUGGCCAGCCCACCCAGCGAUGGUAAAUACUCAAAAGAUGGAGAUAUGCUGCAAUUUUACAAGUGAAAAAAAGAUUCAUUUAGUGAUAAUAAUUCAAUUUGCAGGUACCACAUGCCUCGGUCAUGGUUGAAGCCAACCCAAAAUCUUUUGGUAGUUUUUGAAGAACUUGGAGGAAAUCCCUCUAGAAUUUCUCUUGUG
This 315-nucleotide unclassified non-coding RNA is filed under the name Hevea brasiliensis (rubber tree). Lineage: Eukaryota; Viridiplantae; Streptophyta; Magnoliopsida; Malpighiales; Euphorbiaceae. The record is from RNAcentral.